GAACGCUAGCUACAGGCUUAACACAUGCAAGGUCGAGGGGCAGCGGGAUUGAAGCUUGCUUCAAUUGCCGGCGACCGGCGCACGGGUGAGUAACACGUAUCCAACCUGCCGUCUACUCUUGGACAGCCUUCUGAAAGGAAGAUUAAUACAAGAUGGCAUCAUGAGUCCGCAUGUUCACAUGAUUAAAGGUAUUCCGGUAGACGAUGGGGAUGCGUUCCAUUAGAUAGUAGGCGGGGUAACGGCCCACCUAGUCUUCGAUGGAUAGGGGUUCUGAGAGGAAGGUCCCCCACAUUGGAACUGAGACACGGUCCAAACUCCUACGGGAGGCAGCAGUGAGGAAUAUUGGUCAAUGGGCGAGAGCCUGAACCAGCCAAGUAGCGUGAAGGAUGACUGCCCUAUGGGUUGUAAACUUCUUUAUAAAGGAAUAAAGUCGGGUAUGGAUACCCGUUUGCAUGUACUUUAUGAAUAAGGAUCGGCUAACUCCGUG
Molecule: ribosomal RNA, 487 nt
Filed under: uncultured bacterium
Lineage: Bacteria
Description: bacterial SSU rRNA
Rfam family: Bacterial small subunit ribosomal RNA
Source: RNAcentral